This 459-nucleotide ribosomal RNA is filed under the name uncultured bacterium. Its description in RNAcentral is "partial 16S ribosomal RNA". It matches the Rfam family "Bacterial small subunit ribosomal RNA", at positions 338 to 795 of the family's 1533-position model. The record is from RNAcentral.
CCUACGGGAGGCAGCAGUGAGGAAUAUUGGUCAAUGGUCGGGAGACUGAACCAGCCAAGCCGCGUGAGUGAUGAAGGUACAGAGUAUCGUAAACCUCUUUUGUCAGGGAACAAAGGCGGGGACGUGUCCCCGGAUGAGUGUACCUGAAGAAAAAGCAUCGGCUAACUCGGUGCCAGCAGCCGCGGUAAUUCGGGGGAUGCGAAGGUUAUCCGGAUUGAUUGGGUUUAAGGGGUGCGCAGGCGGUCUGUUAAGUCAGCGGUCAAAGCCCGGGGCUCAACCCCGGCCCGCCGUUGAAACUGGCAGUCUCGAGUUGGAGAGAAGUAGGCGGAAUGCGCGGUGUAGCGGUGAAAUGCGUAGAUAUCGGGCAGAACUCCGAUUGCGAAGGCAGCAUGCCGGCUCCACACUGACGCUGAGGCACGAAAGCGUGGGGAGCGAACAGGAGUAGAUACCCCAGUAGUC